AUGCCGUUGUACGGGUUACAUAAUCGCCCAUUUGAAGGCGCUACAAAAACUGCUCGCUCUCUAGCGGCGCUCGUCAACAUGUCAACUCACAACAAAACAAUCGUAGCGCCGCGCCGGCUACUGGAAACUGGAAAUCUUGUUGUGUCCUCGCUUGUGAGUUUUUAUUUCACAAUAUUCACAUUUGUACUUCUGGAAAGUUUCUUUAUUAACCCACGACUAAACACUAGAGUGGACAAACCUGUUAUUUCUAUUUCAUACCUUACUUACUUCAUUCGCGUUGGUUCAAUCACAAUGGCAGCAACAUCAAUCGUAAAUGUGACAAGCUCCCAAUAGUCAAGGUAUCUUCGUCUGCGAUUACGUUGAAUUGGAACCGAUAAAUCCCAACAAGAAAUAAUUUCUCGUAAAUGUUUGCCUGCUGUUUUGUACCAAAUUUAAUUAUUUUUAAGAGUGUUUCAAAGAUUUUCAAAAACUGUUUAACUACCUACAAGUAUUCAUUUAUUUUGUUCCUAUGAUUACUACUACAUUUUAAAUACUGAGUAUGAAUAAAGCUUCUUUUGUUCUUGAAAUUUUGUUUUCAACGUAUGUUUUUCCAAUCGUACUGUGUGUUUAGUUCCAUGGAGAAUGGAGAUAGGUACCAAUGCAUAUCAUGUGUAAAAAAGGAUUCGUACAAAUAAGUAUUCUCUUUUAAAAGCUAAAACCAUGCCCUUUUCAAAGAAAGCUGGUUGACAGCAGUUCAGUUUUGAAUUACGUAUGUAAGUAAUGUCCUUUUGAAUCUCUCUGAAAAAAUUUUAUACCUAACUCUUUACGUAUAAAAUGAGUCAUCUACAGCCAUACAAGUAGGUGUCAAAUUGCAAUGCCAUGCAACAUGAAAGAAUUGCAACAUUUUGAGAAAAAAUACUGUUCAUUGAGACUUGCAACGUCUUGAUGCAAUCGUGUUUUCAUGGCUUUGAAUGUUGUUUUUAAUGACUAAUUUUCAUCGUAAAAUUUAGGAUAUUGAAAGGAAACACCUGUUUUUUUAUCCAUCCUAGUGGUUUUCGAUCAUAGGUACGCAUGUUUUUUCUGCUUUCCUCAAGGACAACAGAAAAACAUAUCGCUUCCCCUUUCAGCAGUGGAUGAAAUGAGUCCUGAAUUAACUCUCUUGAGGACGUUGAAAGAAAAUUUACAAUGGACCAUCCAACGUUUCCAGCUUGUAAAAAUGUAUUAUCUACUUUUCCUGACAACAGUACUUAAAACAUACACAAUUGAACAAAAAUUCGCUGAUUUUUCAACUAUUCAUGAGUAGAUGAAAAACCAAAAUCAAUUGAUCCUCGUUUAAAUCUGAACAAAUCAAUUUUUUUCAUAAUGUUUUAAGUAGCUAUCCUCGUGAAAAGUAGAAAAGAUAUUUGCAUAAGCUGGAAAGGUUGGAUGGUCCAUGGCAAAUUUUCGUUCAACGUCCUCGAGGGAGUUAAUUCAGGGCUCAUUUCAUCCACUGUUGGAAAGGGAGGGAGGACUGAUAACACUUUUAUAACGAUGUCCACACAAUAUUCUGGGAAUAUUUUGCGGAUUUUACAAAUAUCCUGAGGUCAUCCUGACAGUAUUCUGUGGACUUUUCUAGUAUUUUUUUCAAAUAUCCCUAGAAUGUUCACACAAUAUUUUGGGGAUUUUCAAAUAUCCCCAGGAUAUUCUGGGGAUUUCGUUUUGUCUCACGAAAAUGUUCUGAGAAUGUUGUGAGAAUAUUCCGGAAUAUUCUCACAACAUUGUCAGAACAUUUUGAUUUGCCUCGAAAUAUUAUCAGAACGUUCACAGAAUAUUAGGCUGCUAACUGGGCCAUGGGUGUUAUUUCAAAAUGAAACCGGCUUUUAAUUCUCGUCCAAAUUCGAGAAUGAAUUUGAACUAAGGGCUCCAUCCGAGUUUCACACAUAGAGUUCGUCUAUCUUCAAGGUUAAACUUCAAUAAUAAUAAUUAAAACUGCUAACUGUACUGCAACAUCACCACGAUCAUUCUCCAGCGCAGCUAAUAGCGAAAAUUAAAUUCCGGACUCAGCCUCUGGAUUUGUCACCCUUCAAAAUCCGGAUUUUUAGGUUAAGCUAUAACCAAUCAGAAAUUCAGACAGACGAACAGUCAGUCAACGUCGCAUUAGGCACAUUUACCGGGAGGCGCAAUUUCGCGGACCUGGUGUGAUGACUGGUGACGGGUUAGGCGCAUUUUCCGUUAGGCGCAAUUUACGGAGGCGCAAUUAUGUGCGCCCAUUUUCAUUUCAUCCUUUUAUUUACAUCGACAAAGGAAGCUUUUGUUCUUUUACCUCCAAGUUGCACCUGUCAACAUUGUUUAGAUUUUGAGAGUAAACCGUUGAAUUGUUGUGUUGAAAUAUUAGGUUAUGUUUGAGCAGUGACCGUUCAGAGACACAACUUGUUUCUAAUUUUUUCUUUUCUCAUCUAAGAAUUGUUUAAUGAAACAUGUUAAAUAUUUUGCAGUAUGGAAGUGACAGUGACGAGGAGUCGACUGAAAAGGUCGAGGAAAAAGCGAAAACCAUUUUUGAAGAGGCCACUCUUCAUCUCAAAGAACCAGUAUCAACAUCGAUGCAGCUAUGUGCAGCUCCUGAAGUUGUACCCACGGUUAGUUACAGUGUUUUUCAACUUGUAAAUUUAAAUUCUGUCAUUUAGAAUAAUCUAUUACGCACAAAAUUCAUUUCAUAAUCUGCUCUUCUUGGACUU
This 2693-nucleotide long non-coding RNA is filed under the name Bemisia tabaci. RNAcentral describes it as "lncRNA ENSSSA1UGG006377". Lineage: Eukaryota; Metazoa; Arthropoda; Insecta; Hemiptera; Aleyrodidae. The record is from RNAcentral.